Molecule: microRNA precursor, 51 nt
Filed under: Marmota monax (woodchuck)
Lineage: Eukaryota; Metazoa; Chordata; Mammalia; Rodentia; Sciuridae
Source: RNAcentral
UUUUUAGUUUAAAUAUGUCCCAUGCAGUAUUUGUGCAUACUUAUACUGUAA